This 102-nucleotide small nuclear RNA is filed under the name Panthera leo (lion). Lineage: Eukaryota; Metazoa; Chordata; Mammalia; Carnivora; Felidae. The record is from RNAcentral.
CUGUCUCAGAAAUAAAUAAACAAAAAAAAAAAAAUUGGAACAAUACAGAGAUUAGCAUGGCCCCUAUGCAAGGAUGACACAAAUUCGCGAAGUAGUCCAUUA